RNAcentral lists this ribosomal RNA (253 nucleotides) under uncultured bacterium. RNAcentral's name for it is "partial 16S ribosomal RNA". It matches the Rfam family "Bacterial small subunit ribosomal RNA", at positions 524 to 776 of the family's 1533-position model. The record is from RNAcentral.
GACAGAGGAUGCAAGCGUUAUCCGGAAUGAUUGGGCGUAAAGCGUCUGUAGGUGGCUUUUUAAGUCUGCCGUCAAAUCCCAGGGCUUAACCCUGGACAGGCGGUGGAAACUACCAAGCUGGAGUACGGUAGGGGCAGAGGGAAUUUCCGGUGGAGCGGUGAAAUGCGUAGAGAUCGGAAAGAACACCAACGGCGAAAGCAGCUUGCUAGUACGCGCCUGACACUCAAUAACGAAAGCGUGGGUAGCGAAUGGG